This 264-nucleotide unclassified non-coding RNA is filed under the name Hevea brasiliensis (rubber tree). Lineage: Eukaryota; Viridiplantae; Streptophyta; Magnoliopsida; Malpighiales; Euphorbiaceae. The record is from RNAcentral.
GGGUACCACUGUCCUCAGCACAUCAUAUAGUACACUUGCAAUUUGAUAGAUCUUAGCCAUCUCCUCUGGUUUCUUUGUUUGAUGGCCAUCUCUGAUAUUUUCCUCAUAGAAGUUCUGGUAAAAUUUCUGAAUUUCUCUAGGAUCACUUCUGGCAAGUUGAGGUUGAGUUUCUUCUUCUUCCCUUUCAAGUCUAUGUAACAGGUAUGUCUUGAAUUGACGAACGCCGCGUCCACUUGAUGUUGGAUCCAUCCUAUGAGCUUUUUC